Molecule: ribosomal RNA, 457 nt
Filed under: uncultured bacterium
Lineage: Bacteria
Description: bacterial SSU rRNA
Rfam family: Bacterial small subunit ribosomal RNA
Source: RNAcentral
UACGGGAGGCAGCAGUGGGGAAUAUUGCACAAUGGGCGCAAGCCUGAUGCAGCCAUGCCGCGUGUAUGAAGAAGGCCUUCGGGUUGUAAAGUACUUUCAGUCGUGAGGAAGGUGUUAAGGUUAAUAACCUUAGCAAUUGACGUUAGCGACAGAAGAAGCACCGGCUAACUCCGUGCCAGCAGCCGCGGUAAUACGGAGGGUGCGAGCGUUAAUCGGAAUUACUGGGCUAAAGGGCACGCAGGCGGUUAAUUAAGUUGGAUGUGAAAUCCCCGGGCUUAACCUGGGAAUGGCAUUCAAGACUGGUUAGCUAGAGUCUUGUAGAGGGGGUAGAAAUUCCAUGUGUAGCGGUGAAAUGCGUAGAGAUGUGGAGGAAUACCGGGUGGCGAAGGCGGCCCCUGGGACAAAGACUGACGCUCAUGUGCGAAAAGCGUGGGGAGCAAAACAGGGAUUAGAUACC